Molecule: ribosomal RNA, 215 nt
Filed under: uncultured bacterium
Lineage: Bacteria
Description: partial 16S ribosomal RNA
Rfam family: Bacterial small subunit ribosomal RNA
Source: RNAcentral
UGGGAACGUACCCUUUGGUUCGGAACAACCCAGGGAAACUUGGGCUAAUACCGGAUAAGUCCGUAAGGAGAAAGAUUUAUCGCCAAAGGAUCGGCCCGCGUCUGAUUAGCUAGUUGGUAGGGUAAUGGCAACUAAGGCUACGAUCAGUAGCUGGUCUGAGAGGAUGAUCAGCCACAUUGGGACUGAGACACGGCCCAAACUCCUACGGGAGGCAG